CAGCUUUCUCUGUGUUCAGAUGAAUCACAUGAGUCAGUUCUAUAGAAAUAAAUGAUCAAGGAACGGUGUGAACACUCAUCUAUUCUCUAAUUCUAAUCUUAACUCAUACGUUUUACUGCAGGUUUUUACUUAAAGUGCGUUUGCUUUUUAUCUCUUUAGAGUUACAUUUAAUGUCAUUGAUCAUCAGAGGGACAAGAUUCCACCUGGUGAAGUUUAUCAGACAAAUAAUUAGCUUGUGAUGUUCCUAAGAAACGUCUGAAGGUCCUUGGAAACUUUCUUGUAGUGUGACGGAGCACUGAGGCUGGAGACUCCUUCCACUCCUUUAUCUCCAAUGUAAAACCAGAAAGUAUAAACUCCUCUUUCUUGAUGAAUUUCCUGAGCUGGGAAACUUGUUGAAGCUCUGUAUCCAGCAACCAGCAGCACACUGAUGUCAGCCCGAGAAGCAGGAUCUUGUCAUUAAACUGUCAAAACCUGCGAGAUAAACACCGUGUUUAUGGGAGAGGCUCUGAGUUUUAAUUAAAAGCUGGGAGAGGGCAAAUCUACAGAGACAAACAGAACAGAAACCUUCAUUUAAAGCAUGUCUAAUAUCAUAAUGACCCUAUACAUGCAAUUCUGUUCUAUAGAAGAGAAAAUUUUACUGUAUGCUAAGAGUUCAGAAGUACGUGCCCAACUGUUGCUGCUAUACGGCUUGAUUCCUGCUUUUCACUUUACUUAAAACCUGCAUAGAGCAUUCAUAAAGGCUCGUAAGAUAUGUUGUACUGAACUAAGAUUUUAUACAUAUAUAUGUAUAAAGCAAUACUCACAGUGUACAAUGUGCAAUUGUGUUAUAAUUAUGAUUUAAAGACAAUUUGCAAAAUGGUAUAUGUUAUAAGGCAUUAUAACAUGUCAUUCAGACAUAACACUGUUGCCUGUGUUAUAAUGCAUUACAAGCAUCAUUACAUAUCUACAUUGUAAACAUGUCUGGAAUAAGAAAUGAUUAUAUUUAUUAUUAUACUGUAUUAUAAUUAUUAAUAUGCUCUAAGUGUGUUGUGCAUGUUAUAAUAACAACUUAAGAGCAUCUAUAAAAGUUUAUGCUAUGCAUUAUAGUGAUUUAUGUAUCUAUAUAACAUUAUAAAUACAUCUACUGUAUGAAAUAUAAUUACACAAUGCAAAGCAUUGUGAAAAAUACA
Long non-coding RNA from Hemibagrus wyckioides, 1169 nucleotides. RefSeq lists it as uncharacterized. The transcript is spliced from 3 exons. Lineage: Eukaryota; Metazoa; Chordata; Actinopteri; Siluriformes; Bagridae. The record is from RefSeq and is a predicted model, not a curated record.